UAGGGACAGUCGGGGGCAUCAGUAUUCAAUUGUCAGAGGUGAAAUUCUUGGAUUUAUUGAAGACUAACUACUGCGAAAGCAUUUGCCAAGGAUGUUUUCAUUAAUCAGUGAACGAAAGUUAGGGGAUCGAAGACGAUCAGAUACCGUCGUAGUCUUAACCGUAAACUAUGCCGACUAGGGAUCGGGCGAUGUUUUUAUCUUGACUCGCUCGGCACCUUACGAGAAAUCAAAGUUUUUGGGUUCUGGGGGGAGUAUGG
This 257-nucleotide ribosomal RNA is filed under the name Preussia sp. KUFC-D-305. RNAcentral's name for it is "partial 18S ribosomal RNA". It matches the Rfam family "Eukaryotic small subunit ribosomal RNA", at positions 873 to 1128 of the family's 1831-position model. Lineage: Eukaryota; Fungi; Ascomycota; Dothideomycetes; Pleosporales; Sporormiaceae. The record is from RNAcentral.